GGCCUACCUCUAUGGGGCGAUCGAUCGUGGAGCCCCGUGAUUGAUCACCUCACAGAGGGAGGCC
Non-coding RNA from Myotis brandtii (Brandt's bat), 64 nucleotides. NCBI's taxonomy places the organism in Eukaryota, Metazoa, Chordata, Mammalia, Chiroptera, Vespertilionidae. The record is from Rfam.